GCACGCCUACGGGACGCAGCAGUAGGGAAUUUUCGGCAAUGGGGGGAACCCUGACCGAGCAACGCCGCGUGAAGGAAGAAGGAAUUCGUUCUGUAAACUUCUGUUAUAAAGGAAGAAAGACGGAUGGAGGAAAUGACAUCCGAGUGACGGUACUUUAUGAGCAAGCCACGGCUAACUACGUGCCAGCAGCCGCGGUAAUACGUAGGUGGCAAGCGCUAUCCGGAAUUAUUGGGCGUAAAGAGGGAGCAGGCGGCAGCAAUGGUCUGUGGUGAAAGACUGAAGCUUAACUUCAGUAAGCCAUAGAA
This 305-nucleotide ribosomal RNA is filed under the name uncultured bacterium. Its description in RNAcentral is "bacterial SSU rRNA". It matches the Rfam family "Bacterial small subunit ribosomal RNA", at positions 333 to 631 of the family's 1533-position model. The record is from RNAcentral.